This is a long non-coding RNA of Nematostella vectensis (starlet sea anemone), 2806 nucleotides long. RefSeq lists it as uncharacterized. The transcript has 3 exons. The record is from RefSeq and is a predicted model, not a curated record. NCBI's taxonomy places the organism in Eukaryota, Metazoa, Cnidaria, Anthozoa, Actiniaria, Edwardsiidae.
AAGUCACAAUGCUAGCCCUCACCGGAACAGCAGACCAGCACACCCAGAAAAUUAUCAAGGAGGAGCUUCUCUUAAGCCCUAACACAGAGGAACUUUGUGUGAGCCCAAAUAGAAAAAACCUAAAGUUUUUUGCAGUAAAAGCAUGGAUGAGUUACUUUGCUCAGCUGGUCCUAAAUUGAAGCAGACAAAAAACACAAUUGAAUGCUAAGAACCACUUUCAAUGGGCAAUUCCAGCUGCUAUAACACAAACAUUGUGUUGAAGAAUUGUGUAGCAUUUGUCAAAUGGUGUUAAACAACCCAUGCUGCAUUCUGUUGGUAGUGUGCAUUACAACUUGGGCAUCUUGAAUAAAAAGGAGCACACACUUAUAUAGCUGGAAUAAUCAUUGUUCGGAGCCUUAAUUGUGAGUAGAUUUCUCACACCAUCCAAGAACUUCACUAUUUACACAAAUUACCCUUCUCAAGGGGUGGGGCACCCUUUACCCUUGAUUGCUAACUUAAUGGUAAUAUAAACAACCGUUGAUGAACAUGCCUCCCAAUUCAUUACUAGAAAUGUAUGACCCAAAGGACAUAAAACAGGGCCUCAAACCUUUUUUGCUUAGAUGCCAGCUGGCGACUAAAAGGAAACAUUUGGUGACCAGCUGAAAAUCUAGUCGUCAGCACUUGGUUUGGUGGCAUGGCAACCAGUGAGUUGCGAUUUCGAGCCAUGUAAAAACAGGGAUUGAAAUUCAGAAAAAAAUCAUCUGGGGUACAAUUAUACAAUGUACGAUAGUGCCAGAUUUACAUCCAAAUUUUAGCUGUUUCCUUGCUCCCAAUCAUUCCUCACAUGGCAAGAGAGAUCUCUGAAUUCACCGCAGUAUUUGCUGUCCAUGUCUAGUCAAAUCAAGCAAAACUUAGCUAAUGAUGUAAUUGAGGGAAAAGUCUCGCCAAGUGGGGAAUGAUCGGGAGUGAGGCAAUGGCCGAAAUUCAGGCUAUUCUACACACCUAAAUGGAAAAUGAUACGGCUAAUAUCAAUUCGCAACACGAUUUACCAGCUAAUUCUUGAAACUUUUUUUUCAGUUGUCUCUUCUCCCCAACUUUUCUUGCUCCACAUCUAUCCAAUUCUUAAUCAGACAGCCCUUCCUUUAUACACAAGCCAUCUAUUCUUUGAUCUAUAUAAAAUGCAAAAUCCGCAAAGUAGUUUUAAGUAGUGUGAAACAAAACAUUCUCUAAUACUUAUUUCAGAAAUUGAUUGUACAUUAUCCUCUUUUGAUUUACAAAAUAAUGUUGCAAAUUAGCAUCACGAUUUUAGAACAAAUUAGCAAAUUUGAAAAGAUAUUGCCAUCAAGAUAGCUAUCAAAAUAACAAGUCACUUUGCUGAAACAUACUUGUUUUUUUUUUACGGAUUGUCUGGGAUUUUUUUUGUGCUGAUUUCUUUCUUCAUUCUAUAGUAUUUUUUCUUGGAGCAAAAGGUAAAUUUAAAAAAACACAAUAUUUUUGAGAAAUGUUUUUUUUUUUCUUUGCACUGAAUUACAAGUAAAACAAAAUAUUAAUCCAUGAAUAGUUUAUGCACACAUGUACACAAAAACAUCAUCAGUGUUUUUAUCAAUAUGUGUCAAAAAUCUUGUACAAGAAAAAUUAAAAGCUUGCAGCUUUAGAUUUUGUGUCUUUUUAGAGGUAAACAUGUCAGUAGUCAUGAACCUGUUAAAAAUAAUUAUUAAUUCUACCAACAUAUGUCAAAAGCUAUACCCAAAAGCUAUGUAAAACUACGAAAAUUUAUUUGGUACACGAUUUUGCGUGGUGGACACCUGAACUUCUCAUCAUCUCAGCUGAUUGGAACAGAGGGAGUGCCACAUUUAACUGUCUUUCUCAGUGCAGCAAAUAAAUGCAACGUUGUAGUGUCCUGUAAAGCAACUUUUCUAACAAUAGCCUAAGAGGCCCAUUUGAAAGCUUAUUCAUGUUUCCACUAUCUUUUAUUUCAUGAAUGUCGAUCAUCACAUCCUCGUCUUCAAUAGUGUUCCAGUCUUCGAAAAUCUGAAACGGGACAGCUACACUUGACAGCCGUUUAGACUUGGAAACCAAUUUGGGUUUCUGCGACAUCCAGCUCUCCGGCAACUCCUCCAGAAAAGCUUUAAGUUCUGAAAAGACCAAUAGGAAAACAAGAUCUCAUACGGGCUCAUAACACACGCUUCAUUGACAGGAUUUGUUACAUUCUAGAAGGACUGCAUUUUGUUAUAACAACAAAAGUGUACGUGGACCUGAACUGCAUGCCUACAUUCUGUCAGACAGAUGCUACCACAGUGCACAGUCACCUUACUUGGUUAAAGUGACAGCCCCUUGCAUGUUGUGUACUGUACUUGCCUUUCGCUGCUAUAGAGAUUGAAAAUCCCAACGCGCAUAAAUCCUUUCUUGGAAAAAUGUUGCAAAUUCGAGAACAACAUUGCUUCCGGAUCCAGGACACUCAUUAUAUCCUUUCUUGGAAGACUGUUGCAAAUUCGAGAACAACAUUGCGACCGGAUCCAGGACACUUCGUUCACAGGUCAAUCAAACAACUCUUAUCUUUUUCUCGGGCCGUUAUAAUAAUGUGCAAAACAUCACAAAUGAAAUAAAUUAUCUACUCUAUUAAGUGCCGCAAAACGCAUAAAUAUCAUUAAUAUCAUGAAUGCAUUUUCGUGUGAAUGGUCUUUUGGUCCGUUGCUCGUUUUAAUCUUUCACGUUUUAAUUUUUGUUUUGUUUAAGAAUAGUGGAAAGGGUCAGAAGCACUCUGUGACCCAAUUUUUUAAAAUUCCGAAUUGAUUUGGUAACAAAUAAACUACAAUUUGCAAAAAAA